This 468-nucleotide ribosomal RNA is filed under the name uncultured bacterium. RNAcentral's name for it is "partial 16S ribosomal RNA". It matches the Rfam family "Bacterial small subunit ribosomal RNA", at positions 28 to 507 of the family's 1533-position model. The record is from RNAcentral.
GACGAACGCUGGCGGCGUGCUUAACACAUGCAAGUCGAACGGCAAGGCCCUGCUUUUGUGGGGUGCUCGAGUGGCGAACGGGUGAGUAACACGUGAGUAACCUGCCCUUGACUUUGGGGUAACUUCAGGAAACUGGGGCUAAUACCGGAUAGGAGCUCCUGCUGCAUGGUGGGGGUUGGAAAGUUUCGGCGGUCGGGGCUGGACUCGCGGCUUAUCAGCUUGUUGGUGGGGUAGUGGCUUACCAAGGCUUUGACGGGUAGCCGGCCUGGGAGGGUGACCGGCCACAUUGGGACUGAGAGACGGCCCAGACUCCUACGGGAGGCAGCAGUGGGGAAUAUUGCACAAUGGGCGGAAGCCUGAUGCAGCAACGCCGCGUGCGGGAUGACGGCCUUCGGGUUGUAAACCGCUUUCGCCUGUGACGAAGCGUGAGUGACGGUAAUGGGUAAAGAAGCACCGGCUAACUACGUG